RNAcentral lists this ribosomal RNA (253 nucleotides) under uncultured bacterium. Its description in RNAcentral is "partial 16S ribosomal RNA". It matches the Rfam family "Bacterial small subunit ribosomal RNA", at positions 524 to 776 of the family's 1533-position model. The record is from RNAcentral.
UACGUAGGUGGCAGGCGUUAUCCGGAUUUAUUGGGCGUAAAGGGAACGCAGGCGGUCUUUUAAGUCUGAUGUGAAAGCCUUCGGCUUAACCGGAGUAGUGCAUUGGAAACUGGGAGACUUGAGUGCAGAAGAGGAGAGUGGAACUCCAUGUGUAGCGGUGAAAUGCGUAGAUAUAUGGAAGAACACCAGUGGCGAAAGCGGCUCUCUGGUUUGUAACUGACGCUGAGGUUCGAAAGCGUGGGUAGCAAACAGG